Molecule: ribosomal RNA, 253 nt
Filed under: uncultured bacterium
Lineage: Bacteria
Description: partial 16S ribosomal RNA
Rfam family: Bacterial small subunit ribosomal RNA
Source: RNAcentral
UACGUAGGGUGCAAGCGUUGUCCGGAAUUAUUGGGCGUAAAGAGCUUGUAGGCGGUUUGUCGCGUCUGCUGUGAAAAUCCGGGGCUCAACCCCGGACUUGCAGUGGGUACGGGCAGACUAGAGUGUGGUAGGGGAGACUGGAAUUCCUGGUGUAGCGGUGAAAUGCGCAGAUAUCAGGAGGAACACCGAUGGCGAAGGCAGGUCUCUGGGCCACUACUGACGCUGAGAAGCGAAAGCGUGGGGAGCAAACAGG